Octodon degus (degu) is the source of this 555-nucleotide long non-coding RNA. RefSeq lists it as uncharacterized. The record is from RefSeq and is a predicted model, not a curated record. NCBI's taxonomy places the organism in Eukaryota, Metazoa, Chordata, Mammalia, Rodentia, Octodontidae. The transcript has 3 exons.
UAGCUUACCAUUAGUAAUUGUGUCUGGUUUUGAAUCAAAAGGGUUUUUAAGGUGUAUUAUAAAUAAGAGAUUAGAAAAAAAAUUGUAUAUUUUCGCCAUUUAAAGCUGUUAGGUCCCCCAUACCCCCAGCUAAGUUUUUGUAGGCAAAUUUGUUUGGAACACUGAUAGGCUUAGGUGUCUAAACCUAAUGCCUGGAGCAUAAAUCUGCUGCUUUGGAUUUGUAUCUGAUUAAAAUGUGCAUUACCUGGGGAGGAAGUCCAAACAAAACUUAUGUUUACCUACCUUUUGUGGGUCAUGAAACAAUUUAACUGUCAUACAUUUUUCUAAUAGCUCUUCAAGUCUGCAGAAAAAAAUGGCCUCCAAUAAAACUACAUUGCAAAAAAUGGGAAAGAAACAAAAUGGAAAAAGUAAAAAAGUUGAGGAAGCAGAACCUGAAGAGUUUGUGGUAGAGAAAGUACUGGACCGACGUGUAGUGAAUGGGAAGGUGGAGUAUUUUCUGAAGUGGAAGGGAUUUACAGAUGCUGACAAUACAUGGGAACCUGAAGAAAAUUUAGA